AUCAACUUUCGAUUGGUAGGAUAGAGGCCUACCAUGGUGGUAACGGGUAACGGGGUGUUAGGGCACGACACCGGAGAGGGAGCCUGAGAAACGGCUACCACAUCCAAGGAUGGCAGCAGGCGCGCAAAUUACCCAAUCCCGACACGGGGAGGUAGUGACAAUAAAUAACAAUACGGGGUUCUUUCGGAUCUCGUAAUUGGAAUGAGUACAAUUUAAAUCUCUUAACGAGGAACAAUUGGAGGGCAAGCCUGGUGCCAGCAGCUGCGGUAAUUCCAGCUCCAAUAGCGUAUAUUAAAGUUGUUGCAGUUAAAAAGCUCGUAGUUGAAUUUCGGGGUUAGUAGGUUGGUCAUGCCUCUGGUAUGUACUGGUCUCACUGAUUCCUCCUUCCUUAUGAACCGUAAUGCCAUUAAUUUGGUGUUGCGGGGAAUUUGGACUGUUACUUUGAAAAAAUUAGAGUGUUUAAAGCAGGCUAACGCUUGAAUACAUUAGCAUGGAAUAAUGAAAUAGGACGUUCGAUCUUAUUUUGUUGGUUUCUAGGAUUGACGUAAUGAUUAAUAGGGAUAGUUGGGGGCAUUAGUAUUCAAUUGUCAGAGGUGAAAUUCUUGGAUUUAUCGAAGACUAACUACUGCGAAAGCAUUUGCCAAGGAUGUUUUCAUUAAUCAAGAACGAAAGUUAGGGGAUCGAAGACGAUCAGAUACCGUCGUAGUCUUAACCAUAAACUAUGCCGACUAGGGAUCGGAUGAUGUUAAUUUUUUAAUGACUCAUUCGGCGCCUUACGGGAAACCAAAGUGUUUGGGUUC
RNAcentral lists this ribosomal RNA (800 nucleotides) under uncultured Glomus. RNAcentral describes it as "SSU rRNA". It matches the Rfam family "Eukaryotic small subunit ribosomal RNA", at positions 314 to 1114 of the family's 1831-position model. Lineage: Eukaryota; Fungi; Glomeromycota; Glomeromycetes; Glomerales; Glomeraceae. The record is from RNAcentral.